AGAGAUGACCGUUCGGGUAGAUGAAAAGGGUUAUAAAACCCUUUUACUUCGGUUUUUACCUAAAACCCGAAGUUAAAGGUCCAUAAGUGUAUAAUAGUUGUGCACAUUUAACUUCGGUUUUUAGGUAAAAACCGAAGUGGAAAGUUCACUUUCUACUUCGAUUUUUACCUAAAAACCAAAGUUAAAGGUGCACAA
Small nucleolar RNA from Humulus lupulus (European hop), 195 nucleotides. RefSeq annotates it as small nucleolar RNA snR35. The record is from RefSeq and is a predicted model, not a curated record. The transcript has a single exon. Lineage: Eukaryota; Viridiplantae; Streptophyta; Magnoliopsida; Rosales; Cannabaceae.